GAUGAACGCUGGCGGCGUGCCUAAUACAUGCAAGUCGAGCGAACGGACGAGAAGCUUGCUUCUCUGAUGUUAGCGGCGGACGGGUGAGUAACACGUGGAUAACCUACCUAUAAGACUGGGAUAACUUCGGGAAACCGGAGCUAAUACCGGAUAAUAUUUUGAACCGCAUGGUUCAAAGGUGAAAGACGGUCUUGCUGUCACUUAUAGAUGGAUCCGCGUUGCAUUAGCUAGUUGGUAAGGUAACGGCUUACCAAGGCAACGAUGCAUAGCCGACCUGAGAGGGUGAUCGGCCACACUGGAACUGAGACACGGUCCAGACUCCUACGGGAGGCAGCAGUAGGGAAUCUUCCGCAAUGGGCGAAAGCCUGACGGAGCAACGCCGCGUGAGUGAUGAAGGUCUUCGGAUCGUAAAACUCUGUUAUUAGGGAAGAACAUAUGUGUAAGUAACUGUGCACAUCUUGACGGUACCUAAUCAGAAAGCCACGGCUAACUACGUG
Molecule: ribosomal RNA, 497 nt
Filed under: uncultured bacterium
Lineage: Bacteria
Description: partial 16S ribosomal RNA
Rfam family: Bacterial small subunit ribosomal RNA
Source: RNAcentral